AUGACUGAAGCUCAAACCACCCAACCCACCACAACCAUCAGCAAACUGUAUCCUAUAUGCACAACCAGGUCAAAGACUGAAAACAGCCAAACCAUUCACACCACCACUGUCCCUCCAGGAAGAGACUACUACAAUACAGACCGCAACAAAGAAGUCUUCCCUACAUCCCAGACUGGGGGAGAAUACACCAGAGCUCAAGAUUACAUCACAAACAUCUCUACAGUCAAGACUGAGAGAAAUGACACAGAAGAUGAUAUUAACGUCACCCAUUCUUUCAAGAAUGAGAUGGUGAAGUAUAGUGAUGUCAUACCAACAUCUCAGUCCAAUGGAAACCAUACUCAAGAUGGGGGCAAGGACUUUGAUGACCAAGGCUCCAUUGCCUCCGAUAUGACCCAAACUGAGAACUAUAAUAUCGCCACAGAGCCUACCACUACAGCUACUGCAAGAUCCACAAUGGGAGGCAUGACUGUAAAUGCUGCUUCAACCAGAAAGAAGAUGAGGUCUUGUAAAAUAUUUAGCUGUAUCGGCAUAACAUGCUACAAACAUGUGAAGGUCAUGGAGGAGUUGUGUGAGGAGGGUAUGGACUUCUGUGAGCUCAAGAAAGCCUCAAGCCAGGUCACCUGGAAUACAUAUGUGGCGGUGUGGAGUGCUGGAUGCGCCAGAGACUGCAGACAGAGCACUAAGUGUGGUCCCUUCAGCUCGUACCAAUGCCACAAUGAGUGUUGUGUGGCUGGGUCUGUCUCCUGUCUCAGACUGGAUGGUUCUCUCAACAUGCCUGUCAACUCUGCCUGCUGUGGCCUGGGGAGUCUCUCCCUCCUGGCUCUGAGUGUAACCUCUCUACUGGACAAUCUACUCAACACUCGCUAA
Molecule: long non-coding RNA, 867 nt
Filed under: Oncorhynchus mykiss (rainbow trout)
Lineage: Eukaryota; Metazoa; Chordata; Actinopteri; Salmoniformes; Salmonidae
Description: lncRNA (ENSOMYG00000074016.1)
Source: RNAcentral